AGGACUGAGAAAAAUCUGUAAAGAAGAAAAUAGAGGGAGGGGGGUUACGUGCAAACAAAGACAGCUAAGGAAAGCAUGGAUUGUAUUAAAGAUUUAGUAAAAUACUAGGCUCGAGACAGGAAAUCUAUAAAAACGCGAUAGGUCAUUUGAGACCAAUCCUCAGUGGGAAUAGAGACCGCUAGUAGAUAAGAUAGAACUCCCAUUCGUUCGAGAGGCUAACGAAUAAAGACAAGGUGAGGUGGUCAAAGGGUAAAUCAGUGCAGGACUCUCAUAUCCGAGAGGAGAAACUGGGUUUGAAGUACCAGGUCAAACGAAUGCGCCACACCAAUGAAUUAUUAGUUGCCAAGCGAGGUCAAUAUGUGGUCAGCUAUAAGAUGAAAGACCUGGAGACAAAACAGGCAGGAAUGUAGGUAGAGGAAGUCAAAUCGUCAUGCCCCAGAAGAUACUGGACUACACACGUACAACAAGGGUAGGUACAACGGGAAGAGAAGACGCGAGGCGGAGCCAUACCUUAUAAGCCGCUCUCACUUCAGAAAGCAGCAGGCAACUCGCCUGCAUGAAGUCGUAACAAGUAGUAAUCGCGGAUCAGCAUGCCGCAGUGAAUACGUUCCCGGGUCUUGUUACACAGGCCGUCACACCACGAGAGUUUACACCACCCGAAGUUAUUGGGGUACACGCAAGGGAGCCAGCCGCCGAAGGUGGGGUAGAUGAUUGAGGGAAGUCGAACCAAGGUAACCGUAAAUC
RNAcentral lists this ribosomal RNA (744 nucleotides) under uncultured Paenibacillus sp. RNAcentral describes it as "partial 16S ribosomal RNA". It matches the Rfam family "Bacterial small subunit ribosomal RNA", at positions 976 to 1508 of the family's 1533-position model. Lineage: Bacteria; Bacillati; Bacillota; Bacilli; Caryophanales; Paenibacillaceae. The record is from RNAcentral.